CGAAAGUUAGAGGUUCGAAGGCGAUCAGAUACCGCCCUAGUUCUAACCAUAAACGAUGCCAGCCAGCGAUCCGCCGAAGUUCCUCCGAUGACUCGGCGGGCAGCUUCCGGGAAACCAAAGCUUUUGGGUUCCGGGGGAAGUAUGGUUGCAAAGCUGAAACUUAAAGGAAUUGACGGAAGGGCACCACCAGGAGUGGAGCCUGCGGCUUAAUUUGACUCAACACGGGAAACCUCACCAGGCCCGGACACCGGAAGGAUUGACAGAUUGAGAGCUCUUUCUUGAUUCGGUGGGUGGUGGUGCAUGGCCGUUCUUAGUUGGUGGAGCGAUUUGUCUGGUUAAUUCCGGUAACGAACGAGACUCUAGCCUGCUAAAUAGACGAUUUCCGGUAUCCACAAUAGUGCUACCGGCGAAAUCAAUAUCUUCUUAGAGGGACAGGCGGCUUUCAGCCGCACGAAACUGAGCAAUAACAGGUCUGUGAUGCCCUUAGAUGUCCUGGGCCGCACGCGCGCUACACUGAAGGAAUCAGCGUGUACACCCUGGCCGAAAGGCUCGGGCAACCCGUUGAACCUCCUUCGUGCUAGGGAUUGGGGCUUGCAAUUGUUCCCCAUGAACGAGGAAUUCCCAGUAAGCGCGAGUCAUAAGCUCGCGUUGAUUACGUCCCUGCCCUUUGUACACACCGCCCGUCGCUACUACCGAUUGAAUGAUUUAGUGAGGUCUUCGGACUGGUGCGCGGCGGCCGCCUCCGCGGCCGCCGAUGCCACCGGGAAGAUGACCGAACUUGAUCAUU
RNAcentral lists this ribosomal RNA (787 nucleotides) under Diceroprocta apache. Its description in RNAcentral is "SSU rRNA". It matches the Rfam family "Eukaryotic small subunit ribosomal RNA", at positions 984 to 1773 of the family's 1831-position model. The record is from RNAcentral. Lineage: Eukaryota; Metazoa; Arthropoda; Insecta; Hemiptera; Cicadidae.